AUUGAACGCUGGCGGCAGGCUUAACACAUGCAAGUCGAGCGGGGUGAUGGUGCUUGCACUAUCACUUAGCGGCGGACGGGUGAGUAAUGCUUAGGAAUCUGCCUAUUAGUGGGGGACAACAUCUCGAAAGGGAUGCUAAUACCGCAUACGUCCUACGGGAGAAAGCAGGGGAUCACUUGUGACCUUGCGCUAAUAGAUGAGCCUAAGUCGGAUUAGCUAGUUGGUGGGGUAAAGGCCUACCAAGGCGACGAUCUGUAGCGGGUCUGAGAGGAUGCGCCGACCCACUGGGAAGGAGACACGGCCCAGACUCCGACGCGCGGCAGCAGUGAGGAAUAUUGGACAAUGGGGGGAACCCUGAUCCCGCCAUGCCGCGUGUGUGAAGAAGGCCUUAUGGUUGUAAAGCACUUUAAGCGAGGAGGAGGCUUACCUAGUUAAUACCUGGGAUAAGUGGACGUUACUCGCAGAAUAAGCACCGGCUAACUCUGUGCCAGCCGCCGCAGUAA
Molecule: ribosomal RNA, 503 nt
Filed under: uncultured bacterium
Lineage: Bacteria
Description: partial 16S ribosomal RNA
Rfam family: Bacterial small subunit ribosomal RNA
Source: RNAcentral